UUUGUGAACUUGUUGGUUUAUUCAUCUUAAAUGAACUAUCGAUAACGUUUGGGAAAGAUCGUGUCGGCCUGUAUCGCGACGAUGGACUGAUAUUGCUGAAAGGAACUCGUGCUCGUCUAGCUGACCAGACAAGAAAGAAAUUGCACCAUUUAUUUGAUCAAUUUGAUUUAAAGAUCACAGCAGAGGUCAGUCAUCAAACUGUUAAUUUCCUAGACAUUACGCUCAACUUAGCUGACGGUAGUUACAAACCCUAUAGGAAACCGAACAACCAACCACUCUAUAUCAACAGCCACUCUAACCAC
Paramuricea clavata is the source of this 302-nucleotide non-coding RNA. Lineage: Eukaryota; Metazoa; Cnidaria; Anthozoa; Malacalcyonacea; Plexauridae. The record is from the annotation of a GenBank genome assembly.